RNAcentral lists this ribosomal RNA (497 nucleotides) under uncultured bacterium. RNAcentral describes it as "partial 16S ribosomal RNA". It matches the Rfam family "Bacterial small subunit ribosomal RNA", at positions 29 to 507 of the family's 1533-position model. The record is from RNAcentral.
AAUGAACGCUGGCGGUGGGCCUAACACAUGCAAGUCGAACGGCAGCACAGUAAGAGUUUGCCCUUACGGGUGGCGAGUGGCGGACGGGUGAGGAAUAGAUCGGCAACCACUAAUACGGGGGGAAUAACGUAGAAAAAGUGACGCUAAUACAGAAUACGACCUACGGCAGAAAGCAGUGGUGAAAGGCGGCUUGGGCGACUGAAAUAGAUGAAGCCGGACCGGCUUAGCUAGUUGGUAAGGGAACGGCUUACCAAGGCGACGAAGCGUGGCCGAGCUGAGAGGAUGAUCGGCCACACUGGAACUGAGACACGGUCCAGACUCCUACGGGAGGCAGCAGUAGGGAAUCUUCCGCAAUGGGCGCAAGCCUGAUGCAGCCAUACCGCGUGGGUGAAGAAGGCCUUCGGGUCGUAAAGCCCUUUUGUUGGGAAAGAACAACUGCGGGUUAAUCCCCCGCUGUUCUGACGGUACCCAAAGAGUAAGCACCGGCUAACUUCGUG